RNAcentral lists this ribosomal RNA (465 nucleotides) under uncultured Pelotomaculum sp. Its description in RNAcentral is "bacterial SSU rRNA". It matches the Rfam family "Bacterial small subunit ribosomal RNA", at positions 920 to 1382 of the family's 1533-position model. Lineage: Bacteria; Bacillati; Bacillota; Clostridia; Eubacteriales; Desulfotomaculaceae. The record is from RNAcentral.
CCCGCACAAGCGGUGGAGCAUGUGGUUUAAUUCGACGCAACGCGAAGAACCUUACCAGGGCUUGACAUCCCCUGACCGCGUAUGAAAGUACGUUUUCACCCUCGGGUGACAGGGAGACAGGUGGUGCAUGGUUGUCGUCAGCUCGUGUCGUGAGAUGUUGGGUUAAGUCCCGCAACGAGCGCAACCCCUACGUUUAGUUGCUAACAGGUGAAGCUGAGCACUCUAGACGAACUGCCGUUGACAAAACGGAGGAAGGUGGGGAUGACGUCAAAUCAUCAUGCCCCUUAUGUUCUGGGCUACACACGUGCUACAAUGGCCGGUACAGACGGAGGCGAAGCCGCGAGGCGGAGCAAAUCCGAAAAAGCCGGUCUCAGUUCGGAUUGCAGGCUGCAAUUCGCCUGCAUGAAGUCGGAAUCGCUAGUAAUCGCAGGUCAGCAUACUGCGGUGAAUACGUUCCCGGGCCUU